Long non-coding RNA from Daphnia magna, 532 nucleotides. RefSeq lists it as uncharacterized. Lineage: Eukaryota; Metazoa; Arthropoda; Branchiopoda; Diplostraca; Daphniidae. The transcript has 3 exons. The record is from RefSeq and is a predicted model, not a curated record.
CUUGUGAUUGCACCAGGGGAUCGUUACUUGUGAUUAAUGUUUUUAGUUCUUCUUGACAUUUUGUCCAAUCUGUGUCACAAUCUUCCAUGGUUAGUUGUUGUUCAAGCCCAUGAUGUGUGACACAUUUUCCGUUUGGAUAUUGUCCGUUCUUCAACAAUCCCCAGGCGAUCAUGUCCCAGAUGAUGUUUCCGCUGCCGUGAUUUGCUUUCAAGAUACCGCCAAAUAUGGAACCACUGCUGGUUUUUCCUGGUAUCUCCUUCCAAAGCACACUUUUCCAAUUUUAAGGUUUCGUCGACCCCUACGGCUGCAGCAAAUACGUAAUCGUGUGUUGUCUCCGUGAUGCAGAUAUGAGUAUUUUGUACUCGUAUCGUUUGGUCGACAAUGUACUCGAAUUUUGAUCCUGAUGGGAUUUUGGAUGAAUUGUCCUUCCUGUUGGGUGGUGUUAAGUAAUCCGAAAGGGCUUUCGAUUGGACUAUCUGGUUUCUCCUGACGUAGCGUGAUCUGUUCCGCUACACAAUUUAGUGUUUGGUAU